This 364-nucleotide unclassified non-coding RNA is filed under the name uncultured fungus. RNAcentral describes it as "partial contains small subunit ribosomal RNA, internal transcribed spacer 1, and 5.8S ribosomal RNA". The stretch from base 1 to 73 matches the Rfam family "Eukaryotic small subunit ribosomal RNA", at positions 1759 to 1831 of the family's 1831-position model. The record is from RNAcentral. Lineage: Eukaryota; Fungi.
UCAAACUUGGUCAUUUAGAGGAAGUAAAAGUCGUAACAAGGUUUCCGUAGGUGAACCUGCGGAAGGAUCAUUAUUGAAUUAGGCUUUGUAAGGUUGUUGCUGGCUUGCUUAAGCAUUGUGCACACCUGACAUUGGUCAAUAUUUUUAUUAUCACUUGUGCACCAUUUGUAGAACAGACAAAUAAUAGCUUGUGGGGGGUUUGCUGUUGUGAAAAAACCCAGCUUACCCUGUUAUAUUAUAAUCUGUUUUAUGUUCAUUUAUACAAACUCUUUUGGAAUGUUAAUGAGGUACAAUUCCUCUUUAAAACUUUUGUACAACUUUCAACAACGGAUCUCUUGGCUCUCGCAUCGAUGAAGAACGCAGC